GAUGAACGCUGGCGGCGUGCCUAAUACAUGCAAGUCGAGCGAACGGACGAGAAGCUUGCUUCUCUGAUGUUAGCGGCGGACGGGUGAGUAACACGUGGAUAACCUACCUAUAAGACUGGGAUCACUUCGGGAAACCGGAGCUAAUACCGGAUAAUAUUUUGAACCGCAUGGUUCAAAAGUGAAAGACGGUCUUGCUGUCACUUAUAGAUGGAUCCGCGCUGCAUUAGCUAGUUGGUAAGGUAACGGCUUACCAAGGCAACGAUGCAUAGCCGACCUGAGAGGGUGAUCGGCCACACUGGAACUGAGACACGGUCCAGACUACUACGGGAGGCAGCAGUAGGGAAUCUUCCGCAAUGGGCGAAGGCCUGACGGAGCAACGCCGCGUGAGUGAUGAAGGUCUUCGGAUCGUAAAACUCUGUUAUUAGGGAAGAACAUAUGUGUAAGUAACUGUGCACAUCUUGACGGUACCUAAUCAGAAAGCCACGGCUAACUACGUG
This 497-nucleotide ribosomal RNA is filed under the name uncultured bacterium. RNAcentral describes it as "partial 16S ribosomal RNA". It matches the Rfam family "Bacterial small subunit ribosomal RNA", at positions 28 to 507 of the family's 1533-position model. The record is from RNAcentral.